AGUGGUCAUCAGCAAGUGUGGAGCCAAACGACAACAAGAUUCUCAGAGGGCGGAGCAAGAGAGCAGCGAUUGGUCAGACCAUAUAUAGAAGACGGCGCGCUAGCGGAUCUAGUCUACUAUAUAUAGCUAUGGUUGGCAAGCAUCUCUGGCUGUUGUUGACCUUGUUUUUGGAGUAAAACACGGUGGAAGCUGAAUUAGUGAGGAUGACUCCUGCUCCUGUCAUCUCUAAGCUCCUCACACAUCUUUACCUGCACAUGAGGAAAAUCACUCCUGUAGAAUGCAGUGGUUCAUCAGAACCUCUGGGGAUGUCCUGUGGAUUCUGUGGAUCCUGUGGGUUGCAGGGUGGGUCCUACCUAGACCAGGCUGAUCCUGGACCAUCCCACAGAUGCUCCAUCAGAUCUGGAUGUGGGGAGUGUGGAACCCAGAUGUUCAGAGGGAGAUGAUGCCACAUCUGGUCCAGCCGAUGGAAGGUCUUGAAGUUCUCCGACUGGCCUCGACUGAAGAUGGUCGUCUCACUGGAUUUAAGGUUCAGAUGCUCAGUAACAAACUCCACCAAUGAGCCAACAGGGAAGCUUUAGGUUUAUUAAAUGUUGCUAUGAAGGUAUCGCUGUUUUUCUUUGUGAAUGCAAUGUGCUCCAACUGAAAGUUGAAUUAGAACUUUGAAGUAAAUCCUUCCAUCUUAAAGGAUUUAGUUGCAUUAAUAACCUCAUAACAUUCUAAUUUUUAUUCCAGUCUUGGUUGGAAAUAGAAUCUCUGUAUUGAUUCAGGUAAAAACUGUACUUCACAGCAUGUUGGAGCAAAACAACCAGAUGAAAACUGUGAUGGUGUUGGAUUGUCAGACCGUAAUGUUGCAGCGCAAAGCAGCUUUUCUAGCUCAGUUCAUUCUGACAUUCAGCUAUGAAUCAACACAGCAGAUGGUGAUCCAUGCUGUGGAAGUCUCACAUCUCCUGAUUUAAUGGAGCUGCUUUGCACUUUUUACACUGUUUAUUCACCAACACUUUAUUUAAUAAAAGUCCCAUCUAGUUUUUAUGAGGAAUGUGGUGUUUUAAUUUCUCUGUGAAUAACUGCAGUCUAAUGUAACACCUGGAAUUGUAACAUCUGUCCUGAUAUUGAUCAUGAAGUAUUGAUCAGAAUACUUAUGGUUAGCAGUCAUCCCUGAAGUUUUACAGUAAAAUCUUUACUUGUGUUGUGAACUUUGGUAAGAAGCAGAAACUUUUGCGUUGCCAUGGAUACAUGAGUGUUAAAUUCUGUCCAUGGUUCCAUUUUGGGAAAUGAAGUCCAGGAGAUGAGUUUGUUUUUACUGCCAGCUACCAUUCAGUCUGAGAUAUUAAGAAUAAAUAAAUUAUUCCUACAGCUACUACAGGGAAAGUUCCAGACUGUGGAGGAAUUUAGUCUCAUAAUCACAGACAACAAAUAUUAUCUGAAAGUCGGGUUAUUGUUUAUCAGCACAAUACAAAAAGAUUAAUGUUAGAAAUAUUCCGGUUAAGACUCUAGAAUAUCAUGAUUUAUGUAAAUUUACCUCAAUAAUAUGAAUGUUCAGGUUAAGUUUGUGCACUGAUAUUUAUUAUGUAAGUUUAGCUGAUUAAAGUUGAUGACUCUGCACUACAAUAUUAUUUAUUAUUUAAAUUUACAUCAUUAUUAUAUUUAGGGUCAGACCCUACAGUAUUGAGAUUAAGAAAUCAAAUAUUCUAUAAAAUGUAAAUGCACUGAACUCAUUUGGAUAUAUUUAAGUGAGACUCUACAAUAUUAUUUGACACAAAUCUAUCUAAAUCAAAAUUUUAAUCAUUUUUACUCCAAACGUUGACUAGACUGAAACAUUAAAAUCACUCCUUUCUAAUACUCUGCUGUAUGUUCAAACCUGAGGCCUGAAAUAGAAAUGUACAAGUAUCUGAUUGAAGGAACUUCUGCAGAGUCCUGGUUCUAGAACAUGAUGAUAGAAUUAUAGACAAACUUUAACAAAAGCUGCCUGAGAGUUUACAGGUUUUUAUGUUAGAUUUCUUCUGUAAUUUAAUGAGUUAUCAGCAAUAAUCAAGUGUUUAUUUGAUGAACUUCAUUUCCUAAAACAUCCAGAAUUGGAGCUCAUAUCUUUGGCAGCUGUAAAGUUUCUGCUCCUUCAAAGUUCACAACACAAUGAAUGAAUUCCUAAAACACUCUUAAUGCUGGAGAGCGUUUGUGAUGCUGAAGCAGUGAUCAGUUUUUCUGUUUCUUCUCUGGAGAUGCACAAUGAGGGACGUCUGCAGAGACUGAGAAAGAGUCUCACCACAUCCUGACAUGAGGAAAAAAGACUUUAUUGAAGACUACAAUGAGAAAAACUAUCAGACAGCAGACGGCUGCAUUCAAGGUGAGCUCUGAACAUUUGAUCUGGAACAGGAAUUCAAUAACGGCAGCAUGAGCUUCAUUUCAGUCUGUAGCUGCUGAAUUCAUGGAUGAAUCAUCUGGCACUGGAGAAGAAGACCAUCAAACAUCCACGUCAGCUGAUGGAGGUCCAAGAGUCUCACCAAACAAACAACCUACAGAGUGAAGACCUCGAAUCUGAUUGGACGGCCUCCUAUUCAGCCACAUGCUACAGGAGGAGCCCUACGAGGACGAGCCGGUCCACCUGAUGGCAGCCAGUCGCUGUGGUUCAAAGCCAACACCGACUACGUGGACUUCUACUGGACCACACGGAGGCCUUCAAACCAGACCAACAAGUUCAGCGACUCCCCGACUCGUGGGUCUGAGGACGCCACCGAGCCUCGACCCAGCCGGCCUCCUGUCUGUGGAUGUUUGAGUGCUGAGAGGUUUGUGGAUGCAUGUGAAUGUGUCUGUGUUGAAACAGCAGCUUUGGACUCAGUAACGCCGGGAAAAACCAAGAGCUCCUUUAUUUGUGACUUCCACUAAAAAACUGAUGAAAAUAAGUUUGCCAGGGUUCUGACUGAUAAUAGAUUAUUAAAUAAUGAAAAUAACAGUUUAAAUAUUCCUUUAAACAAUCCUUUUAGGUCUACAUUUCCUUUACACUGACUUCUUGGAAUAUGUACAAGUAUUUUGAGUGGACUAUACCAUUAAGCCCAACGUUCAAGGGUUCUUCUGGGAAUAUACCAUUAAACCAACCUUUUAGGUAAAUGUUCCAGGAUGUUGGGUAGAAUAUACCAUCAGAUAAACCUUUUAGGUCUACAUUGGAAGAUUUUAGAGUAGAAUAUUACUCCAAACCAUCCUGUAGGUCUACAUUUAAGGUGGAAUACUCUUUACACCAAGAUUUUUUGGUCUACAUUGAAGGAUUUUAGGUGGAAUAUUCCUUUGAACAAACUUUUUAAGUUUAUGUUCCAGGAUGUUGGGUAGAAUAUACCAUCAGACCGACCUCCAAGGUCUACAGUAGUGAAUUUUAGGUGGAAUAUACCAUUAAACUCACCUUUUAGGUCUACAUUGGAAGAUUUUAGGUGGAAUUUUCUUCCAAACCGUCUUUUAGUCUACAUUUAAGCAUGUUUAGGAUGGUAAAUUCUUCCAAACCAACUUCUCAGGUCUACAUUUCAGGUGGAAUAUUCCUCCAUACUAACUUUUUUGGUCUGCAUUGAAGGAUUUUUUCUAAACCACACUUUCUGGUCUCUAUUUGAGGAUUUAGGUGGAACAUUCCUUUUAACCAGCCCCUCAGGUCUCUUUGAGGAUCUUGGAUGGAAUACUCGGUUAAACCAACAUUUUAGGUGCAUGUCCAAGGAUUUUUGGUGGAAUGUUCCUUUAAGUUGAAUGUGUGAGGACCUUGUAGGUGGAAUACUUCCUGAAACCAGCCUUUUAGGUCAACAUUCAAAGAUUUAAGGUGGAAUAUUCCUUUAAAUCAACCUAAAUUUCAUGUUUUGAUCAUUAUCAAGUGAGAAACCUCAAUCCAGACUCCUCAUAAUGACGUUUGGGAUUUAUGCUGCUGUUAUUUGUUUAGUCCAGACUAAA
Amphiprion ocellaris (clown anemonefish) is the source of this 3918-nucleotide long non-coding RNA. RefSeq lists it as uncharacterized. Lineage: Eukaryota; Metazoa; Chordata; Actinopteri; Pomacentridae. The record is from RefSeq and is a predicted model, not a curated record. The transcript is spliced from 5 exons.